This 1894-nucleotide long non-coding RNA is filed under the name Mus musculus (house mouse). RNAcentral describes it as "long non-coding RNA chr3:134251032-134252926". The record is from RNAcentral. Lineage: Eukaryota; Metazoa; Chordata; Mammalia; Rodentia; Muridae.
AGAAAGGGAGAGAGAGAGAGAGAGAGAGAGAGAGAGAGAGAGAGAGAGAGAGAGAGAGAGAAACAGAAAUAUAUUCAGAUCCUAAAGCCAGAUAUAUUUCUAUAUAUGUAUACUCUAAUACAAGCUUGCAGAAAUAUAAAUAACACUGGUACAUUUAAAUUAUUAGCAGUGUAGCUUAUGUUUCAUUAACAUAAAUUUUACAUAUUUAUUUUUGUGAGCCAUAGCUUUAUGUAGCCCAGGUUGUCUCACAGUAGCUUGAGAUCACCUUGUUUCUCUUGGCUACACAAAGUGCUGAGAUCACCACCAUGGCCAGUUAAUUUUACAGUUUUAAUUUCAAUGUUACUCUUAUACCCUGUUUACAUGUAAGAUUAAAAUUAUCAUAUGGAAUCAUUUUUGUAAAAUACUCUUGAAAACUGUGGGUCACUGAAAAAAUUACCUAUUUCUCUAUAGUGUGAUGCUACUGUAUCAGAGUGACUUCUUUUCUGUCCAAGAACAUUUUAAUCACUAAAAUAGCCAUAUAUGUCACAAUAAUCUUACUCAUCUGUUGGGCUGUAGUGGUUUCAAGUAUUUUUUUUAACCACAUGUAACUAUAUGUAGCAUGUAUCAAGGUUCAUGUUUAAAGAAGUUGUUUGCAAUAGAUAUUAGGGACAGAAAGUACAUGUCCUUUGGGUUCAUGGUGUCCACAUGUUAUUUGUCUUCGCUCUGACUCCAUCUCUUCCCAAGUACUUGUCUCAGCCUCUUUCCCUAACUGGCUCAACCCUCACAUGCACUUAAUUCCCUUUUAGUGUGGUUUUCAAGUGUGUCCUUCUGUUUACAGUUAGCUAGGUUUGCCUCCUACAUCUUACCAUCUUGGUGGUGGUAGUAAUGGUGGUGUGGUAGAAAGAGUAACAGGAGCCACCCCCUACAGAGAGCAGAGCCUGAAAAUGCACUGGCUAGCCCUUCACCAUCGACCAGAGGAAUCCGAGUGUCAGUUUAUAAUGUCAGAUGUCAGUUUAGAAGCCAGGAAGGGGGAAUGCACCUUCCAGUCACUGGUUCUGUAUUUAGUACGUGUCCUCCUUUAGAUAUUACCAGUCAGUGGUAUCACUAUAGUUAUUUUUACUUACUUCUAAAUAUCGACCAAAGAGGAGUUAUGUGCUAAAGGAAUCAUUUACAGGAGAAACACAUCUGAUAUGUUAUGAUAUAUAUAUAUAUAUAUAUAUAUAUAUAUAUAUAUAUAUAUAUAUAUAUUGAUAUAUAUUGAUAUAUAUUGAUAUAUAUUGAUAUAUAUCCCUCAGGUAUAUUAAUAAGCCUGAGGAAGAAAGAGAGGUGUAAUUUAAAACUAGAGAGCUGGGGGAAGUGACGAAAGUCUAUAAUCCCAGCACUCUGAAAACUGAGGAAUUUUUAGGCCAGACUGGAACACAAUGAGAUCUUACUUAAAAAUACCAAACAAAAAAAAGAAAAAGAAAAAAGAAAAUGUUAGAAAGUAAAAUCAUACUCCUAUUCACAUAUCUAAUAGGAGUUAGUUUUUACUCUAAGGUUAUUUUUUAUUUAUUAACAGUACAUUCCAAGGCAUCACAUUAAUCACUGGUCAUAAAUUCAUGGUUUUCUCAUACCUGAUUAUGUUCUAUCUAUACUCUUUAGUGGCCUAGUAGUAGACUAUGCUUUUAACAGUAUAACAUUUAAAGACGAAGUGAAAAAAAAAGAGCAAAAUCUGCUUCCCUUUGCUGGAUAUCACUUUAAACCAUAAUUAACUAAAGAUUUUACUUAUGUAUAAACAUAUGUUAAGGUAUAUGUGCGUGGUAUGUGCAACAUCUAUGGUAUUGUGCCUGUCGCAAAUCUCCAAGUAGAUUUUGAAAUUCACUAGGAAGAAACAACACAUUUAAUGACAUCUUAAUUUUAUUUUAUAAAUCACACC